GAAGGACUGUAGCUCAGUGGCAGAGCAUCUGGUCCAGAAGGUCCCAGGUUCAGUCUCUAGCAUCUUCA
Podarcis lilfordi (Lilford's wall lizard) is the source of this 68-nucleotide non-coding RNA. The record is from the annotation of a GenBank genome assembly. NCBI's taxonomy places the organism in Eukaryota, Metazoa, Chordata, Lepidosauria, Squamata, Lacertidae.